Non-coding RNA from Mycena epipterygia, 93 nucleotides. NCBI's taxonomy places the organism in Eukaryota, Fungi, Basidiomycota, Agaricomycetes, Agaricales, Mycenaceae. The record is from the annotation of a GenBank genome assembly.
GACUCGGUGGCGGAUGGUCCGCAUCUGCUUCAUGUGAGCAUACCGGUGUGGCUUUGCACGCAAGAUACGCUCGUUCGACUCGGGCCCGAGUCA